Molecule: ribosomal RNA, 500 nt
Filed under: uncultured bacterium
Lineage: Bacteria
Description: partial 16S ribosomal RNA
Rfam family: Bacterial small subunit ribosomal RNA
Source: RNAcentral
AUUGAACGCUGGCGGAAUGCUUUACACAUGCAAGUCGAACGGCAGCACGGACUUCGGUCUGGUGGCGAGUGGCGAACGGGUGAGUAAUGUAUCGGAACGUGCCCAGUCGUGGGGGAUAACGUAGUGAAAAUUACGCUAACACCGCAUACGAUCUAUGGAUGAAAGCGGGGGAUCGCAAGACCUCGCGCGAUUGGAGCGGCCGAUAUCAGAUUAGGUAGUUGGCGGGGUAAAGGCCCACCAAGCCAACGAUCUGUAGCUGGUCUGAGAGGACGACCAGCCACACUGGAACGGAGACGCGGUCCAGACUCCUACGGGAGGCAGCAGUGGGGAAUUUUGGACAAUGGGCGAAAGCCUGAUCCAGCCAUUCCGCGUGCAGGAUGAAGGCCCUCGGGUUGUAAACUGCUUUUGUACAGAACGAAAAGGUUUCUACUCAUACUAGGAGCUCAUGACGGUACUGUAAGAAUAAGCACCGGCUAACUACGUGCCAGCCGCCGCCGUAA